RNAcentral lists this ribosomal RNA (470 nucleotides) under uncultured organism. RNAcentral describes it as "partial 16S ribosomal RNA". It matches the Rfam family "Bacterial small subunit ribosomal RNA", at positions 335 to 797 of the family's 1533-position model. The record is from RNAcentral.
ACUCCUGCGGGAGGCAGCAGUGGGGAAUUUUGGACAAUGGGCGAAAGCCUGAUCCAGCAAUGCCGCGUGAGUGAAGAAGGCCUUCGGGUUGUAAAGCUCUUUUGUCAGGGAAGAAACGGUGAGAGCUAAUAUCUUUUGCUAAUGACGGUACCUGAAGAAUAAGCACCGGCUAACUACGUGCCAGCAGCCGCGGUAAUACGUAGGGUGCAAGCGUUAAUCGGAAUUACUGGGCGUAAAGCGUGCGCAGGCGGUUUUGUAAGUCUGAUGUGAAAUCCCCGGGCUCAACCUGGGAAUUGCAUUGGAGACUGCAAGGCUAGAAUCUGGCAGAGGGGGGUAGAAUUCCACGUGUAGCAGUGAAAUGCGUAGAUAUGUGGAGGAACACCGAUGGCGAAGGCAGCCCCCUGGGUCAAGAUUGACGCUCAUGCACGAAAGCGUGGGGAGCAAACAGGAUUAGAAACCCCUGUAGUCCC